Molecule: long non-coding RNA, 881 nt
Organism: Myotis myotis
Lineage: Eukaryota; Metazoa; Chordata; Mammalia; Chiroptera; Vespertilionidae
Exons: 4
Source: RefSeq, a predicted model, not a curated record
GGGACAGAGCCCCCCCUCCUGGGGGCGCUGCUGAGCCCACCACCCUGCUGGACAUCCCUCAGGGCAUCAGGAGUCUGUUCAAUUCCUCCAGCUACUGGUUGGCUUCCCUGAGCCUGCUUUUGGCACAGAAUUAAAAGGGGAAAAGCAACAACAACAAGAAAAACAAAUAAGAGCUCUGUGUCUUCCUGCCUCUGCACAUCAACAGCCCUAAGUUUUGAUACAGAAGAAAGACAUCCAGGCUUCCGGGCCGGGGACUCCAGCUCAGAGCCAUAAACCCAGAGGACGUCUCCAGUGACUCAUUACUGGAAUAAAUGUUGCUAAUGUGAAAGAUCUUGCAGCACCGAGUCCUGUGAAUGAAAGCCAGAAUGACUCGUCAUUCGGGAAGGAGAGCUCACACUAAAAAGGAAGAUCAAUGUGGGAAGAAUCCAGAGAAUUCAUGAAAUACACUCAAAACCAUUCAAACGCUAUAAAGAUUCGUUUCAUAAGUAUCUUCAGUGUUUUCUUUGAUAUGGGUAUUUAAUCUAAUUUUGGGACCAUUUGUCAAGAUGAAGCAGGUUUCCUAUUUAGAGUUCCUGUGCACCCCCGCCCCCAUCCUGGCUCCCCAAAUAAAGUUGGAUUCUGAAAUGGAAAGUGAGACAAGGGAGGAGUGAUAAGAAGCGGAUGUACUGACAGAGAGAGGUGGCUUAUUUUAAUGAGCUUGGUCCCUUAAGAUUAUCAUACAUACUGGUACACAUGCAUUAGUGUACUUAAAAAUCACAGCUUUAUAUGUGUUUUUUAAAAGAAGUUAAUGCCUGCUUCUGGUAUCCAAUUCAAGAGAUACAAAGGGGACACAGAAAAAGCUAGUCCUCCCCUCCCCACCCCACCCCUUUGUCCCCCUGGUU